GGCGAGAUGGCCGAGCGGUCUAAGGCGUUAGACUAAGGUUACCUGCUCUGAGCAGGAUUUCAUCUAAUCUCUUCGGGGGCGUGGGUUCGAAUCCCACUCUCGUCA
Molecule: transfer RNA, 105 nt
Filed under: Heliocybe sulcata
Lineage: Eukaryota; Fungi; Basidiomycota; Agaricomycetes; Gloeophyllales; Gloeophyllaceae
Rfam family: tRNA
About the family: Transfer RNA (tRNA) molecules are approximately 80 nucleotides in length.
Source: Rfam by way of RNAcentral